GCUUGUCUCAAAGAUUAAGCCAUGCAUGUCUAAGUAUAAGUAUUAUACAGCGAAACUGCGAAUGGCUCAUUAAAACAGUUAUGGUUUAUUUGAUAAUCGAAUUUUACAUGGAUAACCGUGGUAAUUCUAGAGCUAAUACAUGCUGGUGUGCCUGACUUUUCGGAAGGGCGGUAUUUAUUAGAUAUCAAACCAAUAUUCCUUCUGGUCUAUUGUGAUGAUUCAUAAUAACUGAUCGAAGCUUAGCUAGUCUAAGCUAAAUCAUUCAAGUUUCUGCCCUAUCAGCUUUCGAUGGUAGUGUAUUGGACUACCAUGGCAGUCACGGGUAACGGGGAAUUAGGGUUCGAUUCCGGAGAGGGAGCCUAAGAAACGGCUACCACAUCUAAGGAAGGCAGCAGG
Molecule: ribosomal RNA, 396 nt
Filed under: uncultured Prostomatea
Lineage: Eukaryota; Ciliophora; Prostomatea
Description: partial small subunit ribosomal RNA
Rfam family: Eukaryotic small subunit ribosomal RNA
Source: RNAcentral